CCCUUCACUCAACAAAUGGGGAUGUUAAGGCCCAGAAAGGCAAAGAAAGUUCCCCAAGGUCACAAGAUCAAUUGGCCACAUAGUUGAGGCUGGCUAAGAGAAAAGAAUAAUUUCUUGCUGGAUUCUUGGGAGAACCAUACAGGAAUAAGGUGUGACGGGACAGGGAGGAAGAUUAGAGCAAAACAAGGGAGUUGAAGUGAGGGAGUUAGGAGGAGAACCUGGAUACCCCAGAAAACCCCAGCUCCAAUGUAGCCCACCCUAGCAGCCCAGGUGAUGGUGAGAGAUGCAACUCACUUCUUCUGCUUCUUCUCCAGCUCAUGGUUUCGACUUUGUUGGUUCUCUAGCAGGACGCGGGUAUCCUCAAGGUCACAGGGCAGUCUCUGGAUAGAAGAUCCACAUGUACAGACAAUAUUUUUCAUGUCUCACAGUGACCAGCAUUUGUAAUAAUAGUGGAGAUGGAAAAACCUUAAGGGGUUUGUGUCCUCUUCCUCCCUCUUCAGGCUCAGCUAAUACCUCGAUCACCCACAGUGGAGGUGAGAGCCUGCCCACUCUCUAACACUUCUGUGGCCCAGACUAUCCCCACAUCUUACCUUUUGCUCCAGCUCUUUCCUGGCUGUCAGCUCCGAGUCCAGCCUCUCCUCGCAUUGCUGCAGACGCUUUCUGAGGAACUCAUUCUCCAUCUGAGCACAGUCGAAGCGCAUCUGCCACUCGUCUGCUGUUUAACGGAGU
This 729-nucleotide non-coding RNA is filed under the name Pan troglodytes (chimpanzee). The record is from RNAcentral. Lineage: Eukaryota; Metazoa; Chordata; Mammalia; Primates; Hominidae.